CAAAGAAGAUACACGGACUGACAGUAAAAAAUGGCAUGUCCGGUCAGUGAACAUGGUGGUCCAUGUACUUGCUUGUGUUACUUCUAAGGGUAGUGACAGUCCACUGACCUACUCAUGGCAAUCUCCAAGGGGAAAAAAGAGAGUUGGACCACAUAGUGGAGGCAAUCAAGCAAGACACCAUAAAAUGCUUGAAACAUGGCACUCAAACAUAAUCCAAGGGUAAUAAUCUUGAAACAAAAUAGAAUGAGACUUGCUAUUCCAGAUUAUUAUCUGAAUUUGAUGUCAUAUCUGUUGCAUCCACAGACAAGUUGAUCACGCCACACAGAAGAUGUUUUAAUCUGUAGACAAGAUAAAAUAUCACAUCAUUGGCACACAGAUAUAUAUAUAUUUUUAAGAUCCAACCAACUUAGUAACAUCACAAGCCUUGUGACAAUGUAUUAAGGACAGGAUUGAUCCAAGUUAUCUUUCUAGUCGCUGAGAUGAUUCAUUUAAGUAUUGACUAGAGCAUUUGGUAUUCUAAACGUCAUUUUAAGGAUAAAGGAUUAUCUUGUGCGCAUUUGAACAGAUAUCCUUUACAAUAAUGAAUAGAAGAUUAUGGAGGUGCGCAGCAGGCAGAACCCAUGUGACUUGUUGUAUAACAAAUAUAUGCUGCCCGGUACAAUCCUCCUUAGUAGUUAAGAAAAUUCAUACACAUCCUGAUCAUAAGUUAAUAUAUGACAAACGAAAAGCAUCCUCAUAUUUCCAUACAGCUGUGAAGUUACUAAAGUGGAUGCAUUAGUCUAAGCAACGAAAAAACAAUAUUAUCCCCUCAUUUUUUUAUAAGUGGCUGACACAAAAAAAAACCAUGCAAGUCCCACACAAUUACACCAAUCUAGGCAUGUGUGCACCAAUAUCCAAAGAAAUUUCAGAUGUAUGUGAACUUAUCUUACUCGUGUAUGCCUGAAAGCACUGGCAUUAUUUUCUUGCUCACCAUUGAUCUGCAUUCAUCAUGGUUUCAUUUGUGAAUGCCCUUGAUAUUGAUAGUUAUCCUAAUAUAUCAUCAUGGGCAUAUCAUAAGUGUAAGUGGUUCCUUCAUCUGAUCUGGGUGACUCUGUCUGGCCACCUGAAAAAUCCGAAAACCUAGUGUCUUUUCGGAUUUAUGUAAGAUUCUGUUGUCACUUCAGCAGUGGAGCUGGACAUUUUAAGUUAGAUAUGAUAUCAGCUAGUAUCUUUUCUGAUUUAUGAAAGAUUCU
RNAcentral lists this long non-coding RNA (1232 nucleotides) under Elaeis guineensis (African oil palm). RNAcentral's name for it is "long non-coding RNA (EGUI_LNC011574)". The record is from RNAcentral. Lineage: Eukaryota; Viridiplantae; Streptophyta; Magnoliopsida; Arecales; Arecaceae.